This is a non-coding RNA of Lonchura striata (white-rumped munia), 2689 nucleotides long. The record is from RefSeq and is a predicted model, not a curated record. Lineage: Eukaryota; Metazoa; Chordata; Aves; Passeriformes; Estrildidae.
AAACUGCCUCUGCCAUCUUCUGUUUAAUUAACAUAGGUAUACCAAUUUAAUGCAAUUAAGCAAGAUAGGAGGGGACAAUGACAGAGUUAGCAUUGCUGUGGCAUAAGAAGGGCUGCAAAAUGAGAGUGAUGGCCGUGAGGAAGAGCAAGCUGGCUGCAGUUUUGGGAGGUUUAUGCAGAUGUAUUGAAAUUUAGGGGCAGCUGAUUUUUCAUGUGGCCAAGUGUUUAUCUGCCCCUGCCCUUUCCUUUACCCUCUCAGACCUUGCAGGGUAAUCCCCAGAGUGGCAACAACUUUUAAAGCGAUUCCUCUUUCUUCUAACAGAUUCCUGAUGCUAAAGGUCUGACCUUAAAAUGAGCAGUGCAUAGGGCAAGAGUGGGUACUGCAGUGAGCUUCUGGCCUUCAACCCUGCCAAAUACAGCUAUUUUGGUAACCAGAACAGUAUAUUCGUGAUGGGUGAGGGAACAGAGCCUUUCAGUGCAGGCUUCUCAGCAUAUUAACUCUGUCAGUGCUGGAUUCUGGGUCCCUGUGAAGGUUGCCUGUGCCUGUUUAAGACCAUAAAUGCCGAUUUGCAGAAGUCUGUAGCAUUCUGUGACUUCGUGGUUGUGCCUUAGUGCCUGGUGCACCCAAAACCUGGACUGAAUCCUGUGGAUUUCCACGUGGAUCUGGGAAGGACUGUAAUCACAUGCAGCUGGGAGUAGCUCAGACUUGGAUUUCUUGUUGGCAGGAGAGGCACAGCCUGGUUUGCCACAAUGCAACUGUCCUCAUUAAUGUUCUUCAGGGCCUGAUGUACUGGGACCGCCAUGGUUGGGUCAGAAGAUGGCUGAGUUUUCCAGGCUCAUUCUCUUGUCUUCAGAAUGUUAAAUUGGGUGAUAAUGAGUAGUAACUGUGUUCUUUUUUUAUGGUGAAGUUGACACUUGCCUUCUAGUAAACAGACACAGAGAUGACCCUCCUCAUUUCACACAGGUCACCAAACAGCCCUGGAAUGGUAGGGGUUAUUGGCCAUUUACCAAACUCUGUUUGACUUGGGUUCAUGGGUGAGAGAUGAAAGGCUCUAUAUUGCAUUACCAAUCCCUGGGGCCAGCCAGUCUCCCCAAAGAAGCAUUUCAUUUAGCAAGGCAACUGCUGGCCCAUGGGAAUUGGAGACUUGGGAAAAAGAGGAUGCAGUUUCAAUUGCGAAUGUUUCCUCAGGGCAGAUGUCUUAAAGCCACACAGAAACUCACUGCUUCAGUGUCACAAUAGUUGCUCCAGGACACUUAAUGACCAGCAGAUUUUGCCCUUUAAUUAAUCUCCCCUUUUCCCCAAGAAAACAUCCGUUAGGUUCCUUGUGGUGUUUCUGCCUCUGUCCUGAUCUUUUGUCCAUCUCCCUGGGGCAAGACCAUUGCAGCAGUUGUGAACUGUUACCUUUUCCAAGAGCUUCAAAAUUGAAACAGAUGAAGCAAGGAGCCCUGGUUACAUGCUUAGAGGUGUUGGGCUCUUGGGAGGAGAGAUGAGUACUUUUGAAGUGUCAAAUAUUUUCCUUACCCUAAAGCAAAGAUGCUGACUGAUCUUUUUGGUUAUAGUAGAGUGGUCAUUGCUAUUGGGGUAGUCCAAGUGCUGACUUUUUACAGAUUAUGGAUGCAGUGAUUGAUGGCUGCAGGAAGAAGAAUAUUUGAUUCAGAACAAGAAUUCAACCCAGACUUGUCCUGAUUUUCCUAUGAUCUGAAAUUCCAGUGUUGUUCCAAAUUCAUUAUCACUGAUUAAAAUCCUCUUUCAGUUUCCUCCCUUUCUGUUUGUGAUGUGAGUCAUGAGACAUCCAGAAGUUGCAUUUGUUGUUUGAUAGUUUUACAUCAUGGUUGUAAUAGUGCAUCUGCCAAGUCAGCAGGUUCUUUUCUGUAUUUGUUUAUUUGUUUACCACUCCAUUUCCAGCAAGUUCUUGUUACCCAGUUCCUGCUGACAACAGAGGAAGAGGCGCAAGUCAGCUCAGAAAAUGAACGACUAGAAGGUAAGUGAAAAGAAUAGUAAACACAGGCCAUUCAUGUAACAGGACCCAAUUCAUUUUUGUGCCAGGGAGAUUUUUUAAAUGGGACUUCUCCCAGUGGAGAGCUCACAAUGCUCAAGGCCUGUUUCACUAUAAAGACAAUACAUAAUUAUUCCGGGCUUAUUAUUAUUUUUUAUCUCUCUUUUUCCAGUUGCAGGGAUGAGAUCAGGACCCAGUUUAUUGCUGUGCAGACUGUGCAGCACACGGGGCUGCAGGACCCUGUGGAGGCAGGCUGGGGACACAAGUUGGACUUGGAAGAAGAAACUUCCAUGCAGAGAUGUGACUGCAGUGUGAACACUGUGCCAGGGUAAGAGAAGUUUUGUUUAAUUUGGGGAGUAUACAAUAUGUAAAGUCCUUACAAAGUCUGUUGUUCAUCCCAGCCUAGUUAAACUGCAUUUGACCACUACUUAUUCAAUCCAGUAAAGUGUACCUGAGUACCACAGCAACACCUGCUCUAUUUAGAUAUUAAGAUUAUUUUGUCAGUUCAGCCCUUUAGGAUUUAGCAUUUAAUUAAUAAAGGAUUCUAUAACACAUGCCUAGUUGAGCUCUCUCUCAAAUUCCUGAUGAUUUGGGUGAUUUUCUGUAGCCAAUUUAUAUUUUAAUUAGUUGUAACACUUCUUUACUUUCUAUUUUGAACAGCAGAGACUUAAAAAAUAAAAAGCUAAAAAAUGA